GAAAAAAGAACAUGUAAGAUGCCAGCCAUUUACACCUGCCCUCCUGAUAAUACUUGUUAUAGGUGAUCGAAAUUAGUUGUCAAGAGUUUUUUUGUGGUGAUUACAACUCAUGAUGCCUAUUCUUCUUUGAGCUGGUAUGAUCGACUUUGCUUUUCUCCCUCUGAAUCUUCUCAAAUACUUCUUCAAAAGGAGGAUCUCCUGGUCUUCG
RNAcentral lists this unclassified non-coding RNA (208 nucleotides) under Hevea brasiliensis (rubber tree). Lineage: Eukaryota; Viridiplantae; Streptophyta; Magnoliopsida; Malpighiales; Euphorbiaceae. The record is from RNAcentral.